This 851-nucleotide ribosomal RNA is filed under the name uncultured Bacteroidota bacterium. RNAcentral describes it as "bacterial SSU rRNA". It matches the Rfam family "Bacterial small subunit ribosomal RNA", at positions 540 to 1397 of the family's 1533-position model. The record is from RNAcentral. Lineage: Bacteria; Pseudomonadati; Bacteroidota.
GUUAUCCGGAUUCAUUGGGUUUAAAGGGAGCGUAGGCCGCCCCUUAAGCGUGUUGUGAAAUGCCGCGGCUCAACCGUGGCACUGCAGCGCGAACUGGGGGGCUUGAGUGUGCGCGACGCAGGCGGAAUUCGUGGUGUAGCGGUGAAAUGCUUAGAUAUCACGAGGAACCCCGAUUGCGAAGGCAGCUUGCGGGAGCACUACUGACGCUGAAGCUCGAAGGCGCGGGUAUCGAACAGGAUUAGAUACCCUGGUAGUCCGCGCGGUAAACGAUGGAUGCCCGCUGUGUGCCAUUAUGGUAUGCGGCCAAGCGAAAGCGUUAAGCAUCCCACCUGGGGAGUACGCCGGCAACGGUGAAACUCAAAGGAAUUGACGGGGGCCCGCACAAGCGGAGGAACAUGUGGCUUAAUUCGAUGAUACGCGAGGAACCUUACCCGGGCUUGAACUGCCAGCGGACGAUACAGAGAUGUUGAGGCCCUUCGGGGCGCUGGCGGAGGUGCUGCAUGGUUGUCGUCAGCUCGUGCCGUGAGGUGUCGGCUUAAGUGCCAUAACGAGCGCAACCCCUCUCCGUAGUUGCCAUCAGGUGAUGCUGGGCACUCUGCGGACACUGCCACCGCAAGGUGUGAGGAAGGUGGGGACGACGUCAAAUCAGCACGGCCCUUACGUCCGGGGCUACACACGUGUUACAAUGGGGGGUACAGAGCGCCGGCUUGCCGCAAGGAGAGUCCAAUCGCGAAAACCUCCCUCAGUUCGGACUGGGGUCUGCAACCCGACCCCACGAAGCUGGAUUCGCUAGUAAUCGCGCAUCAGCCAUGGCGCGGUGAUACGUUCCCGGGCUUGCACACACCGCCCGU